Molecule: ribosomal RNA, 711 nt
Filed under: uncultured bacterium
Lineage: Bacteria
Description: bacterial SSU rRNA
Rfam family: Bacterial small subunit ribosomal RNA
Source: RNAcentral
UGGCGAGUGGCGAACGGGUGAGUAAUGCGUCGGAACGUACCGAGUAAUGGGGGAUAACGCAGCGAAAGCUGUGCUAAUACCGCAUACGCCCUGAGGGGGAAAGUGGGGGAUCGCAAGACCUCACGUUAUUCGAGCGGCCGACGUCUGAUUAGCUAGUUGGUGGGGUAAUGGCCUACCAAGGCGACGAUCAGUAGCGGGUCUGAGAGGAUGAUCCGCCACACUGGAACUGAGACACGGUCCAGACUCCUACGGGAGGCAGCAGUGGGGAAUUUUGGACAAUGGGGGCAACCCUGAUCCAGCCAUUCCGCGUGAGUGAAGAAGGCCUUCGGGUUGUAAAGCUCUUUCAGCUGGAACGAAACGGUACAGGCCAAUACCCUGUGCUAAUGACGGUACCGGCAGAAGAAGCACCGGCUAACUACGUGCCAGCAGCCGCGGUAAUACGUAGGGUGCGAGCGUUAAUCGGAAUUACUGGGCGUAAAGCGUGCGCAGGCGGAUUGUUAAGCAAGAUGUGAAAUCCCCGGGCUUAACCUGGGAAUGGCAUUUUGAACUGGCAGUCUAGAGUGCGUCAGAGGGGGGUGGAAUUCCACGUGUAGCAGUGAAAUGCGUAGAGAUGUGGAGGAACACCAAUGGCGAAGGCAGCCCCCUGGGAUGACACUGACGCUCAUGUACGAAAGCGUGGGUAGCAAACAGGAUUAGAUACCCUGGUAGUCG